CUCAGUUCUUCCAAGCAAACCCGAUAUAAUUCAGAAACUAAACAGAACCUCUCCUCUCAACAAAACCGAAGCCAACACCUCCCCUUUCGACAUUACUCACCAAACACAGACCUCUACACUCUCUCAAACGCAGAUCCAACUAUUUCACAGAAAGCUUGCAAGGGCUACACUCUCUUAAACGCAGAUCCAACUAUUUCACAGAAAGCUUGCAAGGGCACGAUGAUGGGAGCCAACGUUUUCAAUCACCGACCCGAUCCCCAUAUCAGACCAUUCUCUCUCCAUAUCUCUGUAUUAAUCUAUGAAUAAUCUCUUUUCCUAUUGUCUUUAAUUAGGUUUCUCUGUCAAUUUAAAGAUUUCGUUUUUAAUUAGGUUUUUCUGUCAAUUUAGGGAUUUCAAUUCCUAACCCCCUUUUCUCUCUAUUCUUUUUUAGCACAUCUAAUUUAGCUUAGCACAGGUUAGUGGAACAUGUAAAUUUGAAUUUAGGUACGAACCAUUUUUGUGGCUUGGAGGGGUUAUAAAAUCCCCUGUUAACUCUUUGAUUAGCUGGGAAAUAGAUUUAUUAUUAUCCUUAGGGUUUAUAAAAUCAGUCAUUCCAAAAGCUAUUCCCUUUGUUUUUUUUUUUUUUUUUUUUUCCUCUCAUUUGUAUCACUGCCAAUUAUCUUUGCUGGCCCUUGCACUCUCGCCCCCUGUAUGACUUGCAAUUUUCAAUGAUAUACGUCUUAACACAACUGCAGAUGUUGAUUGAAUUAAUAAAUAUGGUUUUAUGUCUAUGGAAGCUUCAGAAUGAUGAGGAAGGCUACUUUGCAAUCAAUGAUAUACGUCUUAACACAACUGCAGAUGUUGAUUGAAUUAAUAAAUAUGGUUUUAUGUCUAUGGAAGCUUCAGAAUGAUGAGGAAGGCUACUUUGCAAUCAAUGAUAUACGUCUUAACACAACUGCAGAUGUCGAUUGAAUUAAUAAAUAUGGUUUUAUGUCUAUGGAAGCUUGAGAAUGAUGAGGAAGGCUACUUUGCAAUCAAUGAUAUACGUCUUAACACAACUGCAGAUGUCGAUUGAAUUAAUAAAUAUGGUUUUAUGUCUAUGGAAGCUUGAGAAUGAUGAGGAAGGCUACUUUGCAAUCAAUGAUAUACGUCUUAACACAACUGCAGGUUUAAUAAGUGGACAUAUAUACUCUAUGCUUACUCAAAUUUGCAUAUGCAUCGUAUAAAAAAGCUUAUGAAUUUUAAGGAGAAAGAUGGCUUUUCAUUUUGACCGGUGAUGAACUGGACUAAUUAUACUACACACCAGUGGCAUGGAAUCUUUAAGUUAAGGUGAAAAGGGUUGCAUUGGUGAGCUUCUUUUGUAUUUCUCUUGCCUUUCAAAGGGCACGAGACUGAGGAUGUAUACUUUUAUAAUGCCUGGUCUACAUGAGAUGGAGUUUCUACUAAUGAACAAUUAGAUGCUUGCAGUGCACACAAGACUAAGACAGGGCUGAUGAAUAACAUUAUAUGUAAUAACAUUAUAACCUUAGUUCACCAAGUUCAAGGUCCUCAAUGUUUUUCUUUUAAUAUGUUUUAUUUAUU
Quercus robur (English oak) is the source of this 1560-nucleotide long non-coding RNA. RefSeq lists it as uncharacterized. The transcript is spliced from 8 exons. Lineage: Eukaryota; Viridiplantae; Streptophyta; Magnoliopsida; Fagales; Fagaceae. The record is from RefSeq and is a predicted model, not a curated record.